Non-coding RNA from Onthophagus taurus, 495 nucleotides. The record is from RefSeq and is a predicted model, not a curated record. NCBI's taxonomy places the organism in Eukaryota, Metazoa, Arthropoda, Insecta, Coleoptera, Scarabaeidae.
CUACUUUUAAUAUCGACUCACUAGCAGACCAUAAAACUUGAUCAUUUGUGUUUUGGUGGUUUACUGUGACUCGAAGAGAAUAACCACAAAAUUUCGUUCGUGAUAAUUUUUAAAUGUUUAUUAUGGUGAAAUUUUGUGGAACAUUUUAUUAACUUCAUUUCCUGUUAUUGCGGUGCUCUACAAACAAUGCGAAACAUUUAGAAAUCUUCUAGUGUAUGAAAAAUCUUUAAAACUCAAUGCUACACGUCAGAAUUCCUCUAUCGAGAUAUGUCGAAACAUAUACUAUAAACCAUCAGGUUAUACAUCAGGGUUAAUCGAUCCAAUAAUUAGGGACCCAUAUAAAUUAAUAGGUUAUACAUCAGCGUUAAUCAAUCCAAUAAUUUUAUUAGUCACCCAUAUAAAUUAAUGUAAGUAUUUAUUUUAAUUAAUUUUUUUAUAAACAUCUUUAUAAUUUAUCGUCAUGAUUAUUUAUACCGCCCCAGGCUGAACAAUACC